RNAcentral lists this ribosomal RNA (497 nucleotides) under uncultured bacterium. RNAcentral's name for it is "partial 16S ribosomal RNA". It matches the Rfam family "Bacterial small subunit ribosomal RNA", at positions 28 to 507 of the family's 1533-position model. The record is from RNAcentral.
GAUGAACGCUGGCGGCGUGCCCAAUACAUGCAAGUCGAGCGAACAGACGAGGAGCUUGCUCCUCUGACGUUAGCGGCGGACGGGUGAGUAACACGUGGAUAACCUACCUAUAAGACUGGGAUAACUUCGGGAAACCGGAGCUAAUACCGGAUAAUAUAUUGAACCGCAUGGUUCAAUAGUGAAAGACGGUUUUGCUGUCACUUAUAGAUGGAUCCGCGCCGCAUUAGCUAGUUGGUAAGGUAACGGCUUACCAAGGCAACGAUGCGUAGCCGACCUGAGAGGGUGAUCGGCCACACUGGAACUGAGACACGGUCCAGACUCCUACGGGAGGCAGCAGUAGGGAAUCUUCCGCAAUGGGCGAAAGCUUGACGGAGCAACGCCGCGUGAGUGAUGAAGGUCUUCGGAUCGUAAAACUCUGUUAUUAGGGAAGAACAAAUGUGUAAGUAACUAUGCACGUCUUGACGGUACCUAAUCAGAAAGCCACGGCUAACUACGUG